RNAcentral lists this ribosomal RNA (403 nucleotides) under uncultured bacterium. RNAcentral's name for it is "bacterial SSU rRNA". It matches the Rfam family "Bacterial small subunit ribosomal RNA", at positions 362 to 758 of the family's 1533-position model. The record is from RNAcentral.
UCUUGCGCAAUGGACGAAAGUCUGACGCAGCCACGCCGCGUGAGUGAAGAAGGCCUUCGGGUUGUAAAGCUCUGUCGAGCGGGACGAAAAAUCAUUAGGUGCAUAGCCUAGUGAUCUGACGGUACCGCUAAAGGAAGCACCGGCUAACUCCGUGCCAGCAGCCGCGGUAAUACGGAGGGUGCAAGCGUUGCUCGGAAUUAUUGGGCGUAAAGGGUAGGUAGGUGGUCUCAUUUGUCUGGGGUGAAAGCCUUGAGCUUAACUCAAGAAGUGCCCCAGAAACGGUGAGACUAGAGUCUUGGAGAGGGUCGUGGAAUUCCCGGUGUAGCGGUGAAAUGCGUAGAGAUCGGGAGGAACACCAGAGGCGAAGGCGGCGACCUGACAAGUACGACACUCAACUACGAAA